RNAcentral lists this non-coding RNA (23 nucleotides) under Arabidopsis thaliana (thale cress). Lineage: Eukaryota; Viridiplantae; Streptophyta; Magnoliopsida; Brassicales; Brassicaceae. The record is from RNAcentral.
AGGGCAAAAUGGUCUAUACAACU